RNAcentral lists this ribosomal RNA (253 nucleotides) under uncultured bacterium. RNAcentral's name for it is "partial 16S ribosomal RNA". It matches the Rfam family "Bacterial small subunit ribosomal RNA", at positions 524 to 776 of the family's 1533-position model. The record is from RNAcentral.
UACGUAGGGGGCGAGCGUUGUCCGGAUUUACUGGGCGUAAAGCGCGCGUAGGCGGAAGCGUAAGUGUGGCCUGAAAGCCCCCGGCUCAACCGGGGAGGGUGGCUGCAAACUGCGCUUCUUGAGGGCGAUAGAGGAGUGUGGAAUUCCUGGUGUAGCGGUGAAAUGCGCAGAUAUCAGGAGGAACACCGGUGGCGAAGGCGGGUCUCUGGGCAGUAACUGACGCUGAGGAGCGAAAGCGUGGGGAGCGAACAGG